GGCCUCGUGGCGCAACUGAAUAGCGCACUUGAUUACGGCUCAAGAGGUUGCUGGUUUGAAUCCAGCCGAGGUCACAA
Molecule: transfer RNA, 77 nt
Filed under: Gillisia sp. Hel1_33_143
Lineage: Bacteria; Pseudomonadati; Bacteroidota; Flavobacteriia; Flavobacteriales; Flavobacteriaceae
Also listed under: 1 other name
Description: tRNA_Arg_ACG
Rfam family: tRNA
About the family: Transfer RNA (tRNA) molecules are approximately 80 nucleotides in length. Their secondary structure includes four short double-helical elements and three loops (D, anti-codon, and T loops). Further hydrogen bonds mediate the characteristic L-shaped molecular structure. tRNAs have two regions of fundamental functional importance: the anti-codon, which is responsible for specific mRNA codon recognition, and the 3' end, to which the tRNAs corresponding amino acid is attached (by aminoacyl-tRNA synthetases). tRNAs cope with the degeneracy of the genetic code in two manners: having more than one tRNA (with a specific anti-codon) for a particular amino acid; and 'wobble' base-pairing, i.e. permitting non-standard base-pairing at the 3rd anti-codon position.
Source: RNAcentral